Long non-coding RNA from Diabrotica virgifera virgifera (western corn rootworm), 1544 nucleotides. RefSeq lists it as uncharacterized. Lineage: Eukaryota; Metazoa; Arthropoda; Insecta; Coleoptera; Chrysomelidae. The transcript is spliced from 3 exons. The record is from RefSeq and is a predicted model, not a curated record.
CUUUUUUGGAUUCAUUUGGAUUUUGUUGGCUGCUUUGUGUGUAUUUUUUAAAACUUCUGUUUGUCAUUUGUAAAUUUUAUAAAUUUACCACAAUGCAAAGUGAUUAUUUAAGGAAAUUAUUAAUGGAAACUCCGCAGAUGUUUUAGAAAGAUAUUCAUUGAAGCUGAAAAUAAUUGGAGAUUUAGAUCCAUAUACAAUUCAGUCAUCAGAAUUGGAUUUUACAGUGCAUUCCUUCAAUUACUGUUAUAAUGCUAUUAUAGAUAGACUGCUAGAGUCUCACAGUUACUGCUUUAAGCAGCAGAUGAAAGCAUACAAAAGCCUUCAGGCACAUAAAAGCCUUCACAACUGGAUUUGUUUUGAAACAUUGAUGUUUUGAUGAUUUCUAUAUUAUUGUUGGAAAGGUGAAAAAUUCCCAAAAAGCUAAUGCUAAACCGCUAGAUGCUUCGGUGAAUAGCCAGUUCCAAUGGCAUAGCAAAUGCACAUUGUAUGUGUAUGGCCAGUAAUAGUGAAAUUUGCAGCCAUAUUGCAGCAAUCUUAUUUGCAGCUGAGUAUGCCCACAGCAAGACAGAAGAAGAAGAACCCAAUGCAUGUACAGAUGUUACAGCUAUGUACAUUCUCUGGUGAAAAACUAAUGAGUUUUCAAGCUGUUCGGUCAGAGUGCUUGUUGCGCUCUCUAAACGAACUGAUAUAUAAGACGGCUUUGGCUUCAUGUUGCAGUGAUAUGAAAAUGGUUAGUCAUUUUUAAUUAUAAUGUACUUCUUCAUCAUGAGUAUUUAUGUAUAGGGCUUUUCAUUCACAGUCAUUUGUUUCGAGCUUCUGUCAUGUGUCACAUAAUAUUAAUAUUAUAUCUACGUCAUACGUUAUUGGUAUAUAUCAAUGAUACACACCACAGACAUAUGGCAUAGAUAUAUUAAUAUUAUGUGACACAUGACAGAUGCUCGAAACAAAUGACAGUCGAUAAAAAGCCCUAUUAGUCUUUUAAGUGUGUAUUAUCAGAUAUCACAUGUAAAUUGUUUUUAUCAUGUUAAUUUGGUCAUUACAGUCCCUUAAUCAAAAAAUAUAUUUUUCAGGGGUCUGUGGAUCUUUUUGUAUGCAAAAAUUUGUAAUAAUUAUUUGAAAUCAUUUUGAGGAUUAUUAGAGUAUGGAAAUAUAUGUGAGAACACAUACUAUUAUAGUUUUGUCCUAUUUUUUAUCAUUCAAUAGUCUUCUUAAAAUUUAUAAAUAUAAAGCAGAUAGUUUUCAUUGAAAUUCAAUAUAUUGGAUCUUAUUUGUAUGUAUUCAUUUUUGACUAAAGGUACGAUUCCGAUAACGACUGCAGACAGCAACUGCAAACAUCAGUUGCAGUUCUCGGCGUUAUGGACGUUACUACUUUGCACUAUUUAUCUGUAUGAGACUUAUUCCGACAUCUGACUGCAACUGCUGUCUGGCAGAACGUCAGUUGCUAAUAAUUAUGCAAAUUAUUAGUGCAAAAUAAUGACGUCUGUCAUGGUGACAACUGUAACUGCCAUCUGCAGUCGUCGGAAUCGUACCUUUAAAGUGUGUGG